AGCGUGAACUCGGCCUGGGCGAUGGUGGGUCAAAAACCCUUGGCCUUUUGUAUUGACGGGGGAUCGCGCGGGGGCAGGACGCGGCCAAAACCAAACAAACCCGGGAGCUCCGGGCCAGAGCCAACUUUUGCACGUCCUGGAUGAGCACGGCCUCCCGCCCCCGGACCCCGGCCCGGCGCUCAGGGAGGCUGCCUGCUUGCCAGGGCUGGUCCCGAGUCUCCAGGACCAAAAGGGAUCCUCCGCCCCAAGGGCAGCCACUUCCAGCGGGCCGUGGGCCUCGACGGGGGCUGCAGGGACAAACAUUCUCGAGAAGUGUUGUGGCCCGGUAGUGACAGAUUUCGCUCCACUUUUCACAGCCGGUGGUUUUUGUUAUUAGAGAUGCAACUCUAUUUUUUAAACUGUCAUUGAUGCCAGAGAUAGGCGACUAGACUCCUUUACUGGAUUGCCCGCAAUGGAAGAAGCAGCUCCACGCUGGAUGUGGUGGAAGAGUCUGGACAGAAUUGACUGGAAGCCUGGAAUCACCAGAAAAUAACUCAAGGCACAGCUCAGUUGUGACUAGCAAAAGUUUGAGGCUUGGUGGCUCAGCAUCCUGUGCACCAUAACCGUUACCUCCUAUGAGGAAGAGGAGGUACUACUUUCCCACUCAGAGCCAAUUCACUGGAGGGGAAGACCAACUUCCAACCUACCACCCCCAACCUCAGAGGGUAAGACUCGCUGUGGGGAACUGAAGAGUGGUCUCCCUAAUUCCAGAUGAGAUGCCUGUUGUGAAUGGUGAAUGAUCUAGAUCUCCAGUUAUAAAUAUGAGCAGAUAAAAAAUAUCACUAGUCAUAAAGAGAGAAUCCACCAUUUGAAAGAAGAGGACCAAAUUAGAGCAGAUAUCACUUAAUAAAAUGGAGUUAAUGAAGGAAAUAGGAGAAAACUUUUUAAAAAUUUCUUGUUCAUGUUCUAAGUGAAAUUUAAAGAGUGAUAAGGGCAAGUUGUCAUGAAAAUGGAGGCAUCUGAGAACCAAAAUGUCCUGGGAAAUUAGAAGAUACAUGAAUACUUAAGCUGAAAAGACAGUUAAUAGAAAAAUAGAUACUACUAAAAACUGAAUUAAUGAAUUAUAAGACCAUCUCAAAGAGUGCUUCCAGAGCAAAAAGAUAAAUAAAUAGAAACUAUGAAAGAGAAGAUAAAAGAUAUUUAAAAAUAGGUCCAGGAGAUCCCAUGUUUGUAUUUUGGAAGUUUUAGAAGCAAAAUGGAGUAGGUAUUGUAUAUUAAUAUAAUUGUAAUAUACAGUUUCUAUUUUGUAGUAUACAUAUUUUUUGUAUUAUACAAAAAAAGAUAUUUGUUUACUACAAUGCAUCAUUAAAAGAAAUUAAAGAAGACCUAAUUAAAUGGAAACACAUUGUAUGCUGUUGGAGUUGAAGACUUAACAUUGUUCAGAUGGCAGUACUCCCCAAAUUGAUCUAUAGAUUCAAUAUAAUCCCUAUCAAAAUUCUAGCUUCUUUUUUUCCCCAGAAAUUGACAAUCUGAACCUAUAAUUCUAUGGAAAUGCAAGAGACUCAGAAUAGCCAAAGCAACCUUUAAAAAAAAAGAAGAAAGUCAGAAGACUACACUUCCCAAUGUCAAACCUCAUUACAAAGCUACAGUAAUCAAGGCAGUGCAGUAUUGGCAUAAGGAUAGACAUAUAGAUAAUGGAAUAGAAUUAAGAGUCCAGAAAUAAACCCAUGCAUCUAUGGUCAGUUAAUUUUCAGCAAGAAUGUCAAAAUAAUACAGUGGGGAAAGAAUAAUCUUUUCAGCAAAUGAUAUUGAGAUAACUGGAUAUCCACAUGCAAAAGAAUGAAUUUGGACAUCCACCUUACAGCAGAUACAAAACUUAACUCAAAAUAGGUCUUAGGUAUAAGGUAAGAGUUGAAACUAUAAAAAUUCUUUUUAUAGAGUUCUUUGACAUUGGGUUAAGCAAUGGUUUCUUAACAUGACACCAAAAGCAACAAAGGAGAAACUAGAUAAAUUGAUUCACAAAGUUAAAAACUUUUGUGCAUCAAAGGACAAUAUCAAGAAAGUGAAAAGACAAACCACAGUAUGGGAGA
Non-coding RNA from Equus caballus (horse), 2069 nucleotides. Lineage: Eukaryota; Metazoa; Chordata; Mammalia; Perissodactyla; Equidae. The record is from RefSeq and is a predicted model, not a curated record.